This 440-nucleotide ribosomal RNA is filed under the name uncultured bacterium. RNAcentral's name for it is "bacterial SSU rRNA". It matches the Rfam family "Bacterial small subunit ribosomal RNA", at positions 338 to 775 of the family's 1533-position model. The record is from RNAcentral.
CCUACGGGAGGCAGCAGUAGGGAAUAUUGGGCAAUGGAUGCAAGUCUGACCCAGCCAUGCCGCGUGCCGGAUGAAGGCCCUCAGGGUUGUAAACGGCUUUUAUUCGGGAAGAAGAGCAGGGAUGCGUCCUUGUGUGACGGUACCGAAUGAAUAAGCACCGGCUAACUCCGUGCCAGCAGCCGCGGUAAUACGGAGGGUGCGAGCGUUGUCCGGAUUUAUUGGGUUUAAAGGGUGCGUAGGUGGCUGUUUAAGUCAGUGGUGAAAUACGGUUGCUCAACAAUCGAGGUGCCAUUGAUACUGAAUAGCUUGAAAUAAUUGGAGGCUGCCGGAAUGGAUGGUGUAGCGGUGAAAUGCAUAGAUAUCAUCCAGAACACCGAUUGCGAAGGCAGGUGGCUACGAUUGGUUUGACACUGAGGCACGAAAGCAUGGGGAGCAAACAG